AUGGUGGAGUCCAUGGAGGUUGACCUUACCCCUUCUCCAGUGAGAAGACCUCAGCCCGAGGUGGCAGCCGGCCCCACGCGGAUGUCUCUGAUUAGCCCACCUCAAGAUGGGCGCAUGGGAUCCCACCGUUGCAGAUCCCCCACAAGGGACCCACACAGACCCCAGCAGCCCAGGCAGCGGGCAGAGCAACGAGAGGAGGCUCCCCUGGCCUCGGUGGCUCCCAGGCGGCAGCGCCCAGGCCGCCCAUCAGCAUCUCCGGCCUGCUGCAUAGGCCGUGCCCAGGGUCUGCUCACCACAGGGGAGUCACACAGAGAAGAUGAGCCCCAGCAGGUGUACCCUGGAUGGUUUCUUCCUCCAGGUGCCACUAAGUCAUGUGACCGCAUAGUUACUUCUCGGGUUACCUGGGGCAGCACAAACGUGAUAUGCUUGAAACUGCUCUUCUUACUGCCUUACAAUGAGUGCCCACACGUGGCCGGCGCUGUGGCCUGCAGCACCUGCAUCCCAGUGGGCGCCGGUUCGAGUCCCGGCUGCUCCUCUUCCAAUCCAGCUCUCUGCUGUGGCCUGGGAAAGCGGUAG
RNAcentral lists this long non-coding RNA (576 nucleotides) under Oryctolagus cuniculus (rabbit). RNAcentral describes it as "lncRNA (ENSOCUG00000033733.1)". The record is from RNAcentral. Lineage: Eukaryota; Metazoa; Chordata; Mammalia; Lagomorpha; Leporidae.